RNAcentral lists this ribosomal RNA (468 nucleotides) under uncultured bacterium. RNAcentral's name for it is "partial 16S ribosomal RNA". It matches the Rfam family "Bacterial small subunit ribosomal RNA", at positions 28 to 507 of the family's 1533-position model. The record is from RNAcentral.
GACGAACGCUGGCGGCGUGCUUAACGCAUGCAAGUCGAACGGAAAGGCCCUGCUUUUGUGGGGUGCUCGAGUGGCGAACGGGUGAGUAACACGUGAGUAACCUGCCCUUGACUUUGGGAUAACUUCAGGAAACUGGGGCUAAUACCGGAUAGGAGCUCCUGCUGCAUGGUGGUGGUUGGAAAGUUUCGGCGGUUGGGGAUGGACUCGCGGCUUAUCAGCUUGUUGGUGGGGUAGUGGCCUACCAAGGCUUUGACGGGUAGCCGGCCUGAGAGGGUGACCGGCCACAUUGGGACUGAGAUACGGCCCAGACUCCUACGGGAGGCAGCAGUGGGGAAUAUUGCACAAUGGGCGGAAGCCUGAUGCAGCAACGCCGCGUGCGGGAUGACGGCCUUCGGGUUGUAAACCGCUUUCGCCUGUGACGAAGCGUGAGUGACGGUAAUGGGUAAAGAAGCACCGGCUAACUACGUG